Molecule: ribosomal RNA, 261 nt
Filed under: uncultured bacterium
Lineage: Bacteria
Description: partial 16S ribosomal RNA
Rfam family: Bacterial small subunit ribosomal RNA
Source: RNAcentral
GUCCACGCCCUAACGAUGUCAACUGGUUGUUGGACGGCUUGCUGUUCAGUAACGAAGCUAACGCGUGAAGUUGACCGCCUGGGGAGUACGGCCGCAAGGUUGAAACUCAAAGGAAUUGACGGGACCCGCACAAGCGGUGGAUGAUGUGGUUUAAUUCGAUGCAACGCGAAAACCUUACCUACCCUUGACAUGCCUGGAAUCCUGUAGAGAUGCAGGAGUGCUCGAAAGAGAACCAGGACACAGGUGCUGCAUGGCCGUCGU